CGGCACGGGUGAGUAACACGUAUGCAACCUGCCUGCCACAGCCGGAUAAUCGGGAGAAAUUCCGUCUAAUACGGCAUAAUGCAUCGACGGGACAUCCUGUUGGUGCCAAAGGUUAAUUCCGGUGGCGGAUGGGCAUGCGUCGCAUUAGUUAGUUGGCGGUGUAACGGACCACUAAGACGACGAUGCGUAGGGGUUCUGAGAGGAAGGUCCCCCACACUGGUACUGAGACACGGACCAGACUCCUACGGAAGGCAGCAG
RNAcentral lists this ribosomal RNA (258 nucleotides) under uncultured bacterium. RNAcentral describes it as "partial 16S ribosomal RNA". It matches the Rfam family "Bacterial small subunit ribosomal RNA", at positions 98 to 354 of the family's 1533-position model. The record is from RNAcentral.